Long non-coding RNA from Triticum dicoccoides, 1654 nucleotides. RefSeq lists it as uncharacterized. The transcript is spliced from 3 exons. NCBI's taxonomy places the organism in Eukaryota, Viridiplantae, Streptophyta, Magnoliopsida, Poales, Poaceae. The record is from RefSeq and is a predicted model, not a curated record.
UUGAUGCACACCGUGUCACCAUAGAGAUGAAUUCUCACCAUGAAUUACAGAAGCUCAUACUCUCUAAAGUACUAAUACUGACGACUACAUUCCUGCAUAUUUAGAUAUAUAAAACUAACUACUAAAGUACUAAAACUGACGGUUCUAAUCCAAACUGGAAGUAUUGCCUACAGAAAUUCAGAACCUUGGUAGGUGUUGAUGAUUCAGACCUUAGUUACUUCGGACUUCAGAAUUGCAUUUAUGCAGCUAUUCUCUAGGAGAAGUCGUGCAAUACAAACAUAUUAAAAAGUUUCGUCUUGAAUACGCGGCAAACAACUACGUCAGACAAAGAUCUGGAGUACUUGCUCAUAUCUGUGGGGAGUGAUGAAUCGAACAAGGAGGAAGGCCGAUGUGUUUGUUCUUCAACCAUUUCCUACUGAAACCUAGAAAAUUGGGGGGAAUCAUGGCUAGAGCAUAUGUGAACUUGGCCUCCGGUCAUUGAGUCAGGUUUCUGGUUUUGCUUGGGAGAGUAGCAUGUAUUUCCCAUUUGUUUAUUUAAAUAAUUUGUAUCUAAUUCAUGUGAACCAGAUCGUGCUUGGGAGAGUAGCAUGUGUUUGAUUUAGUUACAUACAUAGACCUUUUGAACAUUUGACUUGGCUGUUUGGAUCUGCUUUUAUGCAGGGAGACUGUAUUCCAACCAUAAAACUGAUACAACGGGCACACUAAUAUGACUGUUGUACUUUCAAAUCGACCAUCUGAUUAUUCAGGAGAAAUGUAUCAAAGGACCUCUAUGUUCCCUAUCAUGUGUAUUUAACAAGUAAAUAUUGAGCUACUCUCGAUUUAUCUUGCUAAUGACCAUUUGCACCUUUUCAUUUAUUUUUGCUUAUCCAUUUGUUUUGUAUAAUAUAUGCAUGUUGUAGAAUAAAGAUGAGCUGAAAAUUGACACCAUUCACAGAGCUAGACAAAGCUUAUGAAUGUAGCAGGGGAAAACAUAGUUGAUUUAAAUUAAUGUUGUACUUGCUUAUAUGAACCAUCUUUUGUUUCUUGCAAUGGGGGAUUUAUUCACAAGGAUUAUCUUGUUGUGUGUAGGCAGCGCAACUGUACCAAUGUUACAAGGUUGUAUCAUUUGUACAACAACACACAUAAUGCUCUAAGCUCGUGGUGUUAGUACUAGACAUUCUUUUGUUAUUUUUUACUUUAUUCCUUGGGUAUACUAUACUGCAUUUUGUCUCCUGAUAAAUGUCAAGAAAGAAAAACCUUGCUUGGAUUAUCGUAUGGGUUGUAAAAAAAAUAUGUGAAUGCAUUAGGAACUGUGUACAUAUAGGUAUGAUGCAACUCUUUUGAAUCUAGAGAUUGUAUGACACAUGCCUCAUAUUUGUAUGGGACUGUACACCUGAUCUCCUAAAAGUAUUAUGUGCUGCAGACAUUUUUAUUUCCUUUGAUUUCCUAUAGCUUCAUGUAGAAUGUUUGGGAUUGUAUUUCAGGCACCUUUUUCAAUUGUUAGUUGAGGUGCUUCUGAUUUUCUGAAUGAAUACAUAGGUAGUCUUGAAGACGCUCUGUUCUUAUUUUUCAAAUCUUUACUUUGCUUAUUGUCCUUAUUCUGGUUCUCCUUGGCAUCUUUCUAUCAGUGGAGAUCCUUGUUUUCAAAUAGUAGGGAUAGAGGGACAGAAAAGAU